This is a long non-coding RNA of Phyllopteryx taeniolatus (common seadragon), 872 nucleotides long. RefSeq lists it as uncharacterized. The transcript is spliced from 3 exons. NCBI's taxonomy places the organism in Eukaryota, Metazoa, Chordata, Actinopteri, Syngnathiformes, Syngnathidae. The record is from RefSeq and is a predicted model, not a curated record.
CUACCAGAAGCGACGUUGCAAUUGCCAAACACAGUGCGCUACACUCUAUAUGCAAUGGCGAGCAAAGUGUUGGAAUAUGUGGAGGAGGAGGAUUUUGACGUACAGGAGCACCCAACUGAACUUGGCAUCGUCAAAGCGUAUGUUUGAGCCGAUCGGACAGUGACGACGACGAGCCGCCAAGUAGCAGCUGUACAACAGAAAAAGAGAGCGGCCACUGGCUCGAUGUAACGAUUUCAACAAAAGGCAGCAGUUUUGGACAGAGGCAGUGCCUGGACCAAUUCAACUGGCUCAGAAGUGCUAAGGACGGAGGAAUUCAGUUGAGAAGGAGGAACAUUAAAUAGCGCUAAGACAACACGAGAAAAUUGACGUUAAAAGCCCUGCAACUUAUGGAGCCGCCAUGAAACAGAACAAAAGAAGAACAAGAAGAUGGCGACAACGUCAGAGAAGACAAAUGCAAGAAAAGAAGACACAACUCUGAAAGGGUGGGAUCAUUCUAGACUGUGCAAAAAGGCAAACACUGGUGACGUCUCAAGCAAGACACACAGAAUGCGGUGGAAGAGCCAAAAUGAACGUCACGCAAAUCCGUGAGUUUAACGUUAAUGCAAUUUAGCAGCAUAACAUCAGCCCUACGGAGGGCUAAGGUUUCUAUUCGGACUACCGUGAAAUUGGUGGCCAGUUUAUUGCGAUGGUGAUAAGGGUAUGUAUGUGUGCGACAAUAACUUGACUUCAUUCAGGGUGCUUGCUUGUCAAGGGACAGUUUAGCUCAGUGGUUUAAGCACUUUGAGACACAUGGCCAGUGCACUAGCAUCGCAUCUCCACGUGUUUGACACAGUUUGAGUCAAGUACUGUAAGGUGGAAAAGAAGGACUGUGA